Molecule: ribosomal RNA, 253 nt
Filed under: uncultured bacterium
Lineage: Bacteria
Description: partial 16S ribosomal RNA
Rfam family: Bacterial small subunit ribosomal RNA
Source: RNAcentral
UACGGAGGGUGCGAGCGUUGUCCGGAAUCACUGGGCGUAAAGGGCGCGUAGGCGGCCUGAUAAGUAGGGGGUGAAAUCCUGCGGCUUAACCGCAGGGCUGCCUUCUAAACUGUCAGGCUGGAGCACAGUAGAGGCAGGUGGAAUUCCCGGUGUAGCGGUGGAAUGCGUAGAGAUCGGGAGGAACACCCGUAGCGAAGGCGGCCGACUGGACCAUACUUGACGCUGAGGCGCGAAGGCCAGGGGAGCGAACGGG